This 111-nucleotide ribosomal RNA is filed under the name Candidatus Nealsoniibacteriota bacterium. The record is from RNAcentral. Lineage: Bacteria; Candidatus Nealsoniibacteriota.
UAAGGGGGUUAUACUGGGAGUGCUCCACCUGUUUCCAUACCGAACACAGAAGUGAAAUCUCCCGAGGUUGAUGAUAGUGCUAUUUUGCGCGAAAGUAGAUAGCCCCCCUAC